GGAUAUAGCUCAGGUGGUAGAGUGCUUGCCUCACAGCACAAGGCCCUGGAUUCAAUCCCCAGUAAACCA
RNAcentral lists this transfer RNA (69 nucleotides) under Marmota monax (woodchuck). Its description in RNAcentral is "tRNA.Undet". Lineage: Eukaryota; Metazoa; Chordata; Mammalia; Rodentia; Sciuridae. The record is from RNAcentral.